GAUGAACGCUGGCGGCGUGCCUAACACAUGCAAGUCGAACGAAGCGCUUCGAUUUCCUCGGAAUGAAAAAGUGACUGAGUGGCGGACGGGUGAGUAACGCGUGGGUAACCUGCCUCAUACAGGGGGAUAACAGUUAGAAAUGACUGCUAAUACCGCAUAAGCGCACAGUAUCGCAUGAUACAGUGUGAAAAACUCCGGUGGUAUGAGAUGGACCCGCGUCUGAUUAGCUAGUUGGUGGGGUAAUGGCUCACCAAGGCGACGAUCAGUAGCCGGACUGAGAGGUUGACCGGCACAUUGGGACUGAGAUACGGCCCAGACUCCUACGGGAGCAGCAGUGGGGAAUAUUGCGCAAUGGGGGAAACCCUGACGC
This 370-nucleotide ribosomal RNA is filed under the name uncultured bacterium. RNAcentral's name for it is "bacterial SSU rRNA". It matches the Rfam family "Bacterial small subunit ribosomal RNA", at positions 28 to 389 of the family's 1533-position model. The record is from RNAcentral.